This 497-nucleotide ribosomal RNA is filed under the name uncultured bacterium. RNAcentral describes it as "partial 16S ribosomal RNA". It matches the Rfam family "Bacterial small subunit ribosomal RNA", at positions 28 to 507 of the family's 1533-position model. The record is from RNAcentral.
GAUGAACGCUGGCGGCGUGCCUAAUACAUGCAAGUCGAGCGAACUGACGAGAAGCUUUCUUCUCUUAUAUUAGCGGCGGACGGGUGAGUAACACGUGGAUAACCUACCUAUAAGACUGGGAUAACUUCGGGAAACCGGAGCUAAUACCGGAUAAUAUUGUGAACCGCAUGGUUCAAAAGUGAAAGACGGUCUUCCUUUCACUAAUAGAUGGAUCCGCGCUGCAUUAGCUAGUUGGUAAGGUAACGGCUUACCAAGGCAACGAUGCAUAGCCGACCUGAGAGGGUGAUCGGCCACACUGGAACUGAGACACGGUCCAGAAUCCUACGGGAGGCAGCAGUAGGGAAUCUUCCGCAAUGGGCGAACGCCUGACGGAGCAACGCCGCGUGAGUGAUGAAGGUCUUCGGAUCGUAAAACUCUGUUAUUAGGGAAGAACAUAUGUGUAAGUAACUGUGCACAUCUUGACGGUACCUAAUCAGAAAGCCACGGCUAACUACGUG